CGUGUCGUGAGAUGUUGGGUUAAGUCCCGCAACGAGCGCAACCCUUAUUACUAGUUGCCAGCAUUUAGUUGGGCACUCUAGUGAGACUGCCGGUGACAAACCGGAGGAAGGUGGGGAUGACGUCAAAUCAUCAUGCCCCUUAUGACCUGGGCUACACACGUGCUACAAUGGCGUAUACAACGAGUUGCCAACCCGCGAGGGUGAGCUAAUCUCUUAAAGUACGUCUCAGUUCGGAUUGUAGGCUGCAACUCGCCUACAUGAAGUCGGAAUCGCUAGUAAUCGCGGAUCAGCACGCCGCGGUGAAUACGUUUCCGGGUCUUGUACACACCGCCCGUCACACCAUGAGAGUUUGUAACACCCAAAGCCGGUGGGGUAACCUUCGGGAGCCAGCCGUCUAAGGUGGGACAGAUGAUUAGGGU
This 419-nucleotide ribosomal RNA is filed under the name uncultured bacterium. Its description in RNAcentral is "bacterial SSU rRNA". It matches the Rfam family "Bacterial small subunit ribosomal RNA", at positions 1061 to 1481 of the family's 1533-position model. The record is from RNAcentral.